GACGAACGCUGGCGGCGUGCUUAACACAUGCAAGUCGAACGGAAAGGCCCUGCUUUUGUGUGUUGCUCGAGUGGCGAACGGGUGAGUAACACGUGAGUAACCUGCCCUUGACUUUGGGAUAACUUCAGGAAACUGGGGCUAAUACCGGAUAGGAGCUCCUGCUGCCUGGUGGGGGUUGGAAAGUUUCGGCGGUUGGGGAUGGACUCGCGGCUUAUCAGCUUGUUGGUGGGGUAGUGGCUUACCAAGGCUUUGCCGGGUAGCCGGCCUGAGAGGGUGACCGGCCACAUUGGGACUGAGAUACGGCCCAGACUCCUACGGGAGGCAGCAGUGGGGAAUAUUGCACAAUGGGCUGAAGCCUGAUGCAGCAACGCCGCGUGCGGGAUGACGGCCUUCGGGUUGUAAACCGCUUUCGCCUGUGACGAAGCGUGAGUGACGGUAAUGGGUAAAGAAGCACCGGCUAACUACGUG
This 468-nucleotide ribosomal RNA is filed under the name uncultured bacterium. Its description in RNAcentral is "partial 16S ribosomal RNA". It matches the Rfam family "Bacterial small subunit ribosomal RNA", at positions 28 to 507 of the family's 1533-position model. The record is from RNAcentral.